GAAGCCAACCAGAUGAUCGCGGGGGUAUGGACCGAAAGGUCGCCUCUGAGGAAAGUCCGAGCUCCAUAGGGCAAGGUGCUGGGUAACGCCCAGUGGGGGGAACCCCAAGGAAAGUGCAACAGAGAGAUACCGCCGAUAGCGGAGGUCAGUUGUCUCUGACGACUGUCCGCCGAGUAGGUAAGGGUGGAAAGGUGAGGUAAGAGCUCACCGGCAGUCAGGUGACUGGCUGGCCAUGUAAACCCCACCUGGAGCAAGACUGAAUAGGGGAACUAUGAACGGCCCGUUUUUGUUCCCGGGUAAGGUCGCUAGAGGCCGUCGGUAACGGCGGUUCGAGAUAGAUGAUCAUCACCUCCGUAAGGAGGGACAGAACUCGGCUUAUAGGUUGACUUCGCAA
RNAcentral lists this RNase P RNA (394 nucleotides) under Desulfosporosinus nitroreducens. Its description in RNAcentral is "RNase P RNA component class A". It matches the Rfam family "Bacterial RNase P class A". Rfam says of the family: Ribonuclease P (RNase P) is a ubiquitous endoribonuclease, found in archaea, bacteria and eukarya as well as chloroplasts and mitochondria. Its best characterised activity is the generation of mature 5'-ends of tRNAs by cleaving the 5'-leader elements of precursor-tRNAs. The record is from RNAcentral. Lineage: Bacteria; Bacillati; Bacillota; Clostridia; Eubacteriales; Desulfitobacteriaceae.